RNAcentral lists this ribosomal RNA (531 nucleotides) under Aeromonas hydrophila. Its description in RNAcentral is "bacterial SSU rRNA". It matches the Rfam family "Bacterial small subunit ribosomal RNA", at positions 1 to 522 of the family's 1533-position model. Lineage: Bacteria; Pseudomonadati; Pseudomonadota; Gammaproteobacteria; Aeromonadales; Aeromonadaceae. The record is from RNAcentral.
UGGAGAAGUUUGAUCCUGGCUCAGAUUGAACGCUGGCGGCAGGCCUAACACAUGCAAGUCGAGCGGCAGCGGGAAAGUAGCUUGCUACUUUUGCCGGCGAGCGGCGGACGGGUGAGUAAUGCCUGGGAAAUUGCCCAGUCGAGGGGGAUAACAGUUGGAAACGACUGCUAAUACCGCAUACGCCCUACGGGGGAAAGCAGGGGACCUUCGGGCCUUGCGCGAUUGGAUAUGCCCAGGUGGGAUUAGCUUGUUGGUGAGGUAAUGGCUCACCAAGGCGACGAUCCCUAGCUGGUCUGAGAGGAUGAUCAGCCACACUGGAACUGAGACACGGUCCAGACUCCUACGGGAGGCAGCAGUGGGGAAUAUUGCACAAUGGGGGAAACCCUGAUGCAGCCAUGCCGCGUGUGUGAAGAAGGCCUUCGGGUUGUAAAGCACUUUCAGCGAGGAGGAAAGGUUGAUGCCUAAUACGUAUCAGCUGUGACGUUACUCGCAGAAGAAGCACCGGCUAACUCCGUGCCAGCAGCCGCGGUA